Molecule: ribosomal RNA, 641 nt
Filed under: Streptococcus gallolyticus
Lineage: Bacteria; Bacillati; Bacillota; Bacilli; Lactobacillales; Streptococcaceae
Description: bacterial SSU rRNA
Rfam family: Bacterial small subunit ribosomal RNA
Source: RNAcentral
AGUUGCGAACGGGUGAGUAACGCGUAGGUAACCUGCCUACUAGCGGGGGAUAACUAUUGGAAACGAUAGCUAAUACCGCAUAACAGUGUUUAACACAUGUUAGAUGCUUGAAAGAUGCAAUUGCAUCACUAGUAGAUGGACCUGCGUUGUAUUAGCUAGUUGGUGGGGUAACGGCCCACCAAGGCGACGAUACAUAGCCGACCUGAGAGGGUGAUCGGCCACACUGGGACUGAGACACGGCCCAGACUCCUACGGGAGGCAGCAGUAGGGAAUCUUCGGCAAUGGGGGCAACCCUGACCGAGCAACGCCGCGUGAGUGAAGAAGGUUUUCGGAUCGUAAAGCUCUGUUGUAAGAGAAGAACGUGUGUGAGAGUGGAAAGUUCACACAGUGACGGUAACUUACCAGAAAGGGACGGCUAACUACGUGCCAGCAGCCGCGGUAAUACGUAGGUCCCGAGCGUUGUCCGGAUUUAUUGGGCGUAAAGCGAGCGCAGGCGGUUUAAUAAGUCUGAAGUUAAAGGCAGUGGCUUAACCAUUGUUCGCUUUGGAAACUGUUAAACUUGAGUGCAGAAGGGGAGAGUGGAAUUCCAUGUGUAGCGGUGAAAUGCGUAGAUAUAUGGAGGAACACCGGUGGCGAAAGCG